UACAGAGGUGGCAAGCGUUGUUCGGAUUUACUGGGCGUAAAGGAUCCGUAGGCGGUUCGGUUAGUCAAAUGUGAAAGCCCACAAGCCUCAACUGUGGAACUGCAUUUGAAACUGCCGAGCUAGAGGUGUGAGAGGGGUUAAGGGAAUUCCCGGUGUAAGGGUGAAAUCUGCAGAGAUCGGGAGGAACACCGAUGGCGCAAGGCAGCCCCCUGGGCUAACACUGACGCUCAUGCACGAAAGGCGUGGGGAGCAAACAGGA
RNAcentral lists this ribosomal RNA (259 nucleotides) under uncultured bacterium. RNAcentral's name for it is "partial 16S ribosomal RNA". It matches the Rfam family "Bacterial small subunit ribosomal RNA", at positions 524 to 777 of the family's 1533-position model. The record is from RNAcentral.